UUAAAAACCUAAGUAUUGAAUCUUUGUUAGAAGAUACAAAGACAAAGAAUCAUACGGACUUUGAAUACACUAUCAAAGCUUUGAGAAGCAAGAAGAAGCUUGGUUAGUGUUUUGGAUUCGAAUAUGACUUGAUGUCAUGUGUAUGACUCUGUAUAAAAACUAGAACCGCAACAUAUCUUAAAAGCAUAAGUAUUGUAUCAUUGUUAGAAGAUACAAUGACGAAGACUCAUACGGACUUCGACUACACCAUCAAAGAUUUGAGAAGCAAGAAGCAGCUUGGUUAGAGUUUUGGAGUCGAAUAUGACUUGAUGGCAUGUGUAUGAGUGAGUAUAAAAACUAGAACCGCAACGGAUCUUAAAAGCCUAAAUAUUGUAUCCUUGUUAGAAGAUACAUAGACAAAGUCUCAUACGGAAUUCGGCUAAACCAUCAAAGCUUUUAGAAGCAAGAAGAAGGUUGGUUAGUGUUUUGGAGUGAAAUCUAACUAGAUGUCAUGUGUAUGAGUGAGUAUACCAACUAGAACCACAAUUGGAAUUUUAAAAGCCUAAGUAUUAUAUCCUUGUUAGAAGAUACAAAGACAAACACUCAUACGGACUUUGGCUACACCAUCAAAGCUUUGAGAAGCAAGAAGAAGCUUGGUUAGUGUUUUGGAGUCGAAUAUGACUUGAUGUGAUGUGUAUGAUUGAGUAUAAGAAAUUAAACCGCAACCGGAUCUUAAAAGCCAAAGUAUUGUUUCCUUGUUAGAAGAAACAAAGGCAAAGCCUCAUACAAACUUUAGCUUUACCAUCAAAGCCUUGAGAAGAAAGAAGAAGCUUGGUUAGUGUUUUGGAGUCAAAUAUUAGUAGAUGUCAUGUGUAUGAGUGAGUAUGACAACUAGAACCAUAACCGGAUCUUAAAAACCUAAGUAUUGAAUCUUUGUAAGAAGAUACAAAGACAAAGACUCAUACGGACUUCGACUACACUAUCAAAGCUUUGAGAAGCAAGAAGAAGCUUGGUUAGUGUUUUGGAUUCGAAUAUGACUUGAUGUCAUGUGUAUGACUCAGUAUAAACACUAGAACCGCAACGGAUCUUAAAAGCAUAAGUAUUGUAUCAUUGUUAGAAGAUACAAUGACGAAGACUCAUACGGACUUCGACUACACCAUCAAAGCUUUGAGAAGCAAGAAGCAGUUGGUUAGUGUUUUGGAGUCGAAUAUGACUUGAUGGCAUGUGUAUGAGUGAGUAUAAAAACUAGAACCGCAACGGAUCUUAAAAGCCUAAAUAUUGUAUCCUUGUUAGAAGAUACAUAGACAAAGUCUCAUACGGAAUUCGGCUAAACCAUCAAAGCUUUUAGAAGCAAGAAGAAGGUUGGUUAGUGUUUUGGAGUGAAAUCUAACUAGAUGUCAUGUGUAUGAGUGAGUAUACCAACUAGAACCACAAUUGGAAUUUUAAAAGCCUAAGUAUUAUAUCCUUGUUAGAAGAUACAAAGACAAACACUCAUACGGACUUUGGCUACACCAUCAAAGCUUUGAGAAGCAAGAAGAAGCUUGGUUACUGUUUUGGAGUCGAAUAUGACUUGAUGUGAUGUGUAUGAUUGAGUAUAAGAAAUUAAACCGCAACCGGAUCUUAAAAGUCUAAGUAUUGUUUCCUUGUUAGAAGAAACAAAGGCAAAGCCUCAUACAAACUUUAGCUUUACCAUCAAAGCCUUGAGAAGAAAGAAGAAGCUUGGUUAGUGUUUUGGAGUCAAAUAUUACUAGAUGUCAUGUGUAUGAGUGAGUAUGACAACUAGAACCAUAACCGGAUCUUAAAAACCUAAGUAUUGAAUCUUUGUUAGAAGAUACAAAGACAAAGACUCAUACGGACUUCGACUACACUAUCAAAGCUUUGAGAAGCAAGAAGAAGCUUGGUUAGUGUUUUGGAUUCGAAUAUGACUUGAUGUCAUGUGUAUGACUCAGUAUAAACACUAGAACCGCAACGGAUCUUAAAAGCAUAAGUAUUGUAUCAUUGUUAGAAGAUACAAUGACGAAGACUCAUACGGACUUCGACUACACCAUCAAAGCUUUGAGAAGCAAGAAGCAGUUGGUUAGUGUUUUGGAGUCGAAUAUGACUUGAUGGCAUGUGUAUGAGUGAGUAUAAAAACUAGAACCGCAACGGAUCUUAAAAGCCUAAAUAUUGUAUCCUUGUUAGAAGAUACAUAGACAAAGUCUCAUACGGAAUUCAGCUAAACCAUCAAAGCUUUUAGAAGCAAGAAGAAGGUUGGUUAGUGUUUUGGAGUGAAAUCUAACUAGAUGUCAUGUGUAUGAGUGAGUAUACCAACUAGAAGCA
RNAcentral lists this small RNA (2298 nucleotides) under Arabidopsis thaliana (thale cress). RNAcentral's name for it is "ATSL269410". The record is from RNAcentral. Lineage: Eukaryota; Viridiplantae; Streptophyta; Magnoliopsida; Brassicales; Brassicaceae.